GUAAAUAAUUAAGGGCGUAUGGUGGAUGCCUAGGCUCUCAGAGGCGAUGAAGGACGUGAUAAGCUGCGAAAAGCUCCGUUUAGGUGCAAAUAACCUUUGAUGCGGAGAUCUCCGAAUGGGAUAACCCAAUAUGUUGAAGACAUAUUAUACCGUAAGGUAGGCAAACGCAGGGAACUGAAACAUCUAAGUACCUGCAGGAGAAGAAAACAAACGUGAUUCCCCCAGUAGCGGCGAGCGACCGGGGAUAAGCCCAAACCGUUAUUGUUUCGGCAGUAGCGGGGUAGUAGGACUGCGACAUUGAUGAAAUAAAUGAAAUGGAACACUUUGGAAAAUGUGAUCACAGAGGGUGAUAAUCCCGUACAUGCAAGUUUAUGAAUCAUAGCAGACUCCUGAGUAAGUCGGGACACGUGUAAUCCUGACCGAAUCCGCCGGGACCAUCCGGCAAGGCUAAAUACUCCCGAGAGACCGAUAGUGAACCAGUACCGUGAGGGAAAGGUGAAAAGCACUUCGAACAGAAGAGUGAAAUAGUCCCUGAACCCAUACGCCUACAAGCAGUCGGAGCCGCUUCGUGCGGUGACGGCGUGCCUUUUGCAUAAUGAGCCUACGAGUUAGUCGUCACCAGCGAGGUUAAGGGCUUCAGGCCCGUCAGCCGAAGUGAAAGCGAGCCUUAACAGGGCGUAAAGUUGGUGGCGCUAGACGCGAAACCUUGUGAUCUACCCACGAGCAGGUUGAAGUCGCGGUAACACGUGAUGGAGGACCGAACCGGUAAACGUUGAAAAGUUUUCGGAUGACCUGUGGGUAGGGGUGAAAGGCCAAUCAAACUGGGAAAUAGCUCGUACUCUCCGAAAUGCAUUUAGGUGCAGCCUCUGUUGUUUUGUUCUAGAGGUAGAGCUACUGAUUGGAUGCGAGGGCUUCACCGCCUAUCAAAUCCGGCCAAACUCCGAAUGCUAGAACAUGAAGACAGGGAGUGAGCCAGCGGGUGCUAAGGUCCGUUGACGAAAGAGGGAGAACUCAGACCAUCAGCUAAGGUCCCCAAUUGUAUGCUAAGUUGGAAUUAAAACGGGGUGGGACUGCUUAGACAGCUAGGAUGUUGGCUUGGAAGCAGCCAUUCAUUUAAAGAGUGCGUAACAGCUCACUAGUCGAGCGGUCCUGCAUGGAUAAUACGCGGGCAUAAGCAUAUAACCGAAGCUAUGGGAUUGUAGAUGAUACAAUCGGUAGGAGAGCAUUCCAUUCAGCAUAGAAGCAGUACCGUGAGGUAUUGUGGAGCGGAUGGAAAAGCAAAUGUAGGCAUAAGUAACGAUAAUGCGGGUGAGAACCCCGCACGCCGAAAGAUCAAGGAUUCCCCGGCAAUGUCAAUCAUCCGGGGGUAAGUCGGAUCCUAAGGGUAAGCCGAGUGGCGAUCCCGAUGGCAAACAGGUUAAUAUUCCUGUACUGAUCAUAACUGCGAUGCAGCGACGCAGAGGUGACACUGCUGCGUACUGACGGAAUAGUACGUUGAAACCCGUAUUCUUUGAUACCGGUAGUGAAGCACGCCGGUAGAGAUGAAAGGUGAUAGUACCGCAAUGCUUCGGUUGCGCGGAUAACGCAGGUAAGCUGACUGCCAAGAAAACCUGCUAAGCUUCAGGUAAUGAUCAUCCGUACUGUAAACGGACACACGUGAUCAGGUAGAAAAUACUAAGGCGCUCGAGAGAUUCAUGGUUAAGGAACUAGGCAAAAUGGUCCUGUAACUUCGGGAUAAAGGACGCUCUUGUGAAAGAGCCGCAGAUAAUAGGCCCAGGCGACUGUUUACCAAAAACACAUGGCUAUGCUAAUUCGCAAGAAGAUGUAUAUGGCCUGACACCUGCCCGGUGCCGGAAGGUUAAGAGGAGAGCUCAGAGGUAACUCGAAGGUUUGAAUUGAAGCCCCGGUAAACGGCGGCCGUAACUAUAACGGUCCUAAGGUAGCGAAAUUCCUUGUCGGGUAAGUUCCGACCUG
Molecule: ribosomal RNA, 1974 nt
Filed under: human gut metagenome
Description: bacterial LSU rRNA
Rfam family: Bacterial large subunit ribosomal RNA
Source: RNAcentral